UUAUGGCAUUCUAUUUUCUUUUGUUAUCUUGAGAAGGUAGCCAGUAAUCACAAAACACUUUGGCGUUAAGGAAAAGGUGAAUUUAUACCAUACUAGUACAACAUUCAUCAUCUCCAUACCGAGGUGAACCUUUGUCAUUACUAUAUUUUGCUGUCUCAAUAUGAUAUCUAUUACCCAUAAACACUGAGGAAUAUUAUUGCUGUUUUAAAAUGAAAAAUCUAUCCCAUUAAUAAC
Molecule: non-coding RNA, 234 nt
Organism: Pelobates cultripes (western spadefoot toad)
Lineage: Eukaryota; Metazoa; Chordata; Amphibia; Anura; Pelobatidae
Source: the annotation of a GenBank genome assembly